This 1217-nucleotide ribosomal RNA is filed under the name metagenome. Its description in RNAcentral is "bacterial LSU rRNA". It matches the Rfam family "Bacterial large subunit ribosomal RNA", at positions 1712 to 2925 of the family's 2925-position model. The record is from RNAcentral.
UCUCUGCAAAAUGGCCCCGUAAGUUCGCGAUAAGGGGUACCCUCCGUUGUUAACGCUUUGGAGGGUCACAGUAAAUCGGCAUCAGCAACUGUUUAUCAAAAACACAGGACUCUGCUAACUCGCAAGAGGAUGUAUAGAGUCUGACGCCUGCCCGGUGUUGGUAGGUUAAGGAAGAGGGUUAGCCGCAAGGUGAAGCCCGCGACCGAAGCCCCAAUAAACGGCGGCCGUAACUAUGACGGUCCUAAGGUAGCGAAGUUCCUUGUCGGGUAAGUUCCGACCUGCAUGAAAGGCGUAAUGACUGAUGCACUGUCUCAACCAGUGACCCGGUGAAAUUGUAGCCGUGGUGAAGAUGCCACGUACCCGCAGUGUGACGGAAAGACCCCGUGAACCUUCACUGUAGGCUGAUAUUGGUCUCGGACGUGUUCUGUGUAGGAUAGGUGGGAGGCUUCGAAGUGGUGGCGCUAGCCAUCAUGGAGCCAACGUUGAAAUACCACCCUGGAUUCGUUUGAGUUCUAACUCUGAUUCCCGUGAAUCCGGGCAGAGGACAGUGUCAGUUGGGCAGUUUGACUGGGGCGGUCUCCUCCAAAAGAGUAACGGAGGAGUUCAAAGGUACCCUCAGCCUGGUUGGCAAUCAGGCAUCGAGCGUAAAGGUAGAAGGGUGCUUGACUGCGAGACUCAUAAGUCGAGCAGAUACGAAAGUAGGACUUAGUGAUCCGGCGGUUCUGUAUGGAAAGGCCGUCGCUCAUCAGAUAAAAGGUACUCCGGGAUAACAGGCUUAUCGCUUCCGAGCGUCCAUAGCGGCGAAGCGGUUUGGCACCUCGAUGUCGGCUCAUCACAUCCUGGGGGUGGAGAAGCUCCCAAGGGUUUGGCUGUUCGCCAAUGAAAGUGGUACGUGAGCUGGGUUCAGACCGUCGUGAGACAGGUCGGUCCCUAUCUGCUGUGGGCGCACGAAACUUGAGGGGAUUCUUCUUUAGUACGAGAGGAUUUGGAAGGACGUUCCUCUGGUGUUCCAGUUGUCACGCUAGUGGCACGGCUGGAUAGCUAAGAACGGAACGGAUAAACGCUGAAAGCAUAUAAGCGUGAAGCCCGCCCCGAGAUUAGGUUUCGUAGGGCUUAUGCCCGAAAGUCCCCUGGAAGACGACCAGGUUGAUAGGCCGGACGUGUACGUGCAGCAAUGCAUUCAGCUAACCGGUACUAACGGACGAACGCUUGACCAC